GUCCCUACGGGCGCAGCAGUGAGGAAUAUUGGUCAAUGGGCGGGAGCCUGAAUCAGCCAAGUCGCGUGAGGGAAGACGGUCCUAUGGAUUGUAAACCUCUUUAGGCGGGGAGCAAUGCCGGGCACGCGUGCCCGGAGGGAGAGUACCCGCAGAAUAAGCAUCGGCUAACUCCGUGCCAGCAGCCGCGGUAAUACGGAGGAUGCGAGCGUUAUCCGGAUUUAUUGGGUUUAAAGGGUGCGUAGGCGGAUUUUUAUGUCAGCGGUAAAAUGUCC
RNAcentral lists this ribosomal RNA (272 nucleotides) under uncultured bacterium. RNAcentral describes it as "partial 16S ribosomal RNA". It matches the Rfam family "Bacterial small subunit ribosomal RNA", at positions 335 to 604 of the family's 1533-position model. The record is from RNAcentral.